GAUGAACGCUAGCGGGAGGCUUAACACAUGCAAGUCGAGGGGCAGCAUAGGGUAGCAAUACUCUGAUGGCGACCGGCAAACGGGUGAGUAACGCGUAUGCAACCUACCCUGUACAGGGGGAUAACCCGGAGAAAUUCGGACUAAUAUCCCGUAAUAAUAUCCGGAGGCAUCUUUGGAUAUUUAAAGUUCCGACGGUACGGGAUGGGCAUGCGUAACAUUAGCUGGUUGGUAAGGUAACGGCUUACCAAGGCUAUGAUGUUUAGGGGUCCUGAGAGGGUGGUCCCCCACACUGGUACUGAGACACGGACCAGACUCCUACGGGAGGCAGCAGUGAGGAAUAUUGGUCAAUGGGCGCAAGCCUGAACCAGCCAUCCCGUGUGCAGGAAGACGGCCCUAUGGGUUGUAAACUGCUUUUCCAGGGAGAGAAACUUACGCACGUGUUGCGUGACUGACGGUACCCUGGGAAUAAGCAUCGGCUAACUCCGUG
RNAcentral lists this ribosomal RNA (487 nucleotides) under uncultured bacterium. RNAcentral describes it as "bacterial SSU rRNA". It matches the Rfam family "Bacterial small subunit ribosomal RNA", at positions 28 to 507 of the family's 1533-position model. The record is from RNAcentral.